This 778-nucleotide ribosomal RNA is filed under the name uncultured bacterium. RNAcentral describes it as "bacterial SSU rRNA". It matches the Rfam family "Bacterial small subunit ribosomal RNA", at positions 8 to 815 of the family's 1533-position model. The record is from RNAcentral.
AGAGUUUGAUCAUGGCUCAGGAUGAACGCUGGCGGCGUGCCUAACACAUGCAAGUCGAGCGAUUCUCUUCGGAGAAGAGCGGCGGACGGGUGAGUAACGCGUGGGUAACCUGCCCUGUACACACGGAUAACAUACCGAAAGGUAUGCUAAUACGAGAUAAUAUACUUUUAUCGCAUGGUAGAAGUAUCAAAGCUUUUGCGGUACAGGAUGGACCCGCGUCUGAUUAGCUAGUUGGUAAGGUAACGGCUUACCAAGGCGACGAUCAGUAGCCGACCUGAGAGGGUGAUCGGCCACAUUGGAACUGAGACACGGUCCAAACUCCUACGGGAGGCAGCAGUGGGGAAUAUUGCACAAUGGGCGAAAGCCUGAUGCAGCAACGCCGCGUGAGCGAUGAAGGCUUCGGGUCGUAAAGCUCUGUCCUCAAGGAAGAUAAUGACGGUACUUGAGGAGGAAGCCCCGGCUAACUACGUGCCAGCAGCCGCGGUAAUACGUAGGGGGCUAGCGUUAUCCGGAAUUACUGGGCGUAAAGGGUGCGUAGGUGGUUUCUUAAGUCAGAGGUGAAAGGCUACGGCUCAACCGUAGUAAGCCUUUGAAACUGGGAAACUUGAGUGCAGGAGAGGAGAGUGGAAUCCCUAGUGUAGCGGUGAAAUGCGUAGAUAUUAGGAGGAACACCAGUUGCGAAGGCGGCUCUCUGGACUGUAACUGACACUGAGGCACGAAAGCGUGGGGAGCAAACAGGAUUAGAUACCCUGGUAGUCCACGCCGUAAACGAUGAGUA